GCAGCAUCAGCGACAGCGACAGCAGUGGCAUCAUCAGCAGCAGCAGCAAACAUUGCAGGAUAGUAUGAAACAGGACUCAGCGCAGACGGCACGCGUUUCGCUUUUGAGGAGAACCAAACGCGAGAGUCGCAGCAGUCGCAGUCACAGUCGCAGUCGCAGUCGCAGCAAUUGCCGUUGCCGUUGUUGUCGUAGUCGCAGUCGCAAUCGUUGUCUCGUCUCCGUGGCCGUGUCUCUGUGUCUGCGUUGCGCACAAUUUGAAGAAUUCAACUACAACAAAGAAAAAAAGAAAAGAAAAUAAAAAUUGAAAAACUAAAUGCAAAUAAGCAGGCGAGAAAAACAAACAAAUAGAAAACGAACUAAAGCAGCAGCAACGAUUUGAGCAAAGCAAAACGGAAACCAAUUUUUUUUUCGCUGACUGCCGAAUCGUUUUGUGCCAAGCUCUCCGUCAGCGGCAACAACAACAAAUGCCAAAAGGGCCAACAGAGAAUGAAACUGGGACUAGCAGCAGGCGGGGCAAUACAAGGAGCAGCAGCAGCAGCGGCACAAGGACUAUCGCGAGGAGCAGGGAUCAAGGGGGAAGCGUCAAAAGCACAUUUAAAGAAUUUUAAUCGAAUACUGCCAAGUAACAAAUAUAUGUAUUUACAAUAUAUA
Drosophila virilis is the source of this 651-nucleotide non-coding RNA. NCBI's taxonomy places the organism in Eukaryota, Metazoa, Arthropoda, Insecta, Diptera, Drosophilidae. The record is from RefSeq and is a predicted model, not a curated record.